RNAcentral lists this ribosomal RNA (500 nucleotides) under uncultured bacterium. Its description in RNAcentral is "bacterial SSU rRNA". It matches the Rfam family "Bacterial small subunit ribosomal RNA", at positions 28 to 526 of the family's 1533-position model. The record is from RNAcentral.
GAUGAACGCUGGCGGCGUGCUUAACACAUGCAAGUCGAACGAAGCACUUUUGUCUGACCCCUUCGGGGCGACGACAUUUGUGACUGAGUGGCGGACGGGUGAGUAACGCGUGAGUAACCUGCCUUAUACCGGGGGAUAACAGUUAGAAAUGACUGCUAAUACCGCAUAAGCGCACAGCAUCGCAUGGUGCAGUGUGAAAAACUCCGGUGGUAUAAGAUGGACUCGCGUCUGAUUAGCUAGUUGGCGGGGUAACGGCCCACCAAGGCGACGAUCAGUAGCCGGCCUGAGAGGGUGGACGGCCACAUUGGGACUGAGACACGGCCCAGACUCCUACGGGAGGCAGCAGUGGGGAAUAUUGCACAAUGGGGGAAACCCUGAUGCAGCGACGCCGCGUGAAGGAAGAAGUAUUUCGGUAUGUAAACUUCUAUCAGCAGGGAUGAUAAUGACAGUACCUGACUAAGAAGCCCCGGCUAAUUACGUGCCAGCCGCCGCAGUAAUAC